Molecule: non-coding RNA, 2225 nt
Organism: Macaca mulatta (Rhesus monkey)
Lineage: Eukaryota; Metazoa; Chordata; Mammalia; Primates; Cercopithecidae
Source: RefSeq, a predicted model, not a curated record
AUUAUUUUGAGGUAUAUUCCUUCAAUACCUAGUUUAUUGACAGAAAGCUACAUUUUAAAUAGAAUAUUUAUAAAAACAUGGUUGAUGUUCUCUGUCACCUAAGAAAUUAUUUAGGAUGCUCUGAAAUGUACCAACUCUUAUGGAAGACAAUAGUCCCUGUGAUAAGGCUGGGAAGAGUCCUAAGGACCAUGGCCACUAGAUUCAAAAGCACCUGGAGGAAGACGAGCUCAUUUCUUUUGGUGAGGAAGAGGAAGGCCACACGGAGAAGGUAGGAUUCAAGCUGGGCCUUCAACGUUGAGCAUGGGUAUUAUUUUUUUAAUAGAUGAAAGGUGAGAGAAUACAUUGAAGGUAGGUAACGCUUGUUAGUUCAACCAGUAACUAGGUCAAAGAAUAGAACAACAGCGAGAGGAAAGUGAGUCUCACAGGAAAGCCUGACAAGUCAAGAAAUGUGGGAGGGAGUCUGGGGACAGCGUGGUCAAUGACCUCUUCUGACACAAGUGCACGAAGCUAGCAGAAAGGGCCCUGGGGAGACUGAGGCACAUCCUAAUUACCUGCCUUGAGAGGGACACCAUGCUUCUAUGAAUGAAGCCUGAGCCCACCAGCAUUGUUCCUUUUUAGUGCUCUUAUAACUCAUCUUCAGGCCCUUUUUCUCAAAACCCACUCCUUAGCUAGAUAUUAUCUGUGCCAAAAUUAUGAAAUUAUUUGUGGGAAUCUAAAAUCAGAACUUCACAUUUAAAAAAACUUGAAUGUCUAAUGAAUUGUUUGUAUUGGAUUUUGUCUCCUUUGGGCCUUGAAAUCAUCUUGAAUAUGGAUUCUGUUGCCUGGUAGAUGAGCUGCCCCCACCAGCUGUGGCUCAGGGGACUUUCCUCCAGGUUAACUGCAGUGGACUCCUCAGCAUCCUUUAGUUCACUGUUGUUUAAUCAACUAUCAAUGUCUCCUUACACUUUAAUUCCUCCCUCCUUUGUCAAGUCAAACACUUAGAGGAAAUCACACUGCCUGUGUUCUUCUGAUCUACAGGUCUCAUGAGCCCAUCAAAAACUCAGUGAACUUGUUUGGUUGGAUGCAUCUUUUAUUGCUUUUAAAAUACAACAAAGCUGUCGAUAAAUUAUUCCAUCAUCGCUUUUCAAGGUGUCUUCCUUUUUCUGCUGCGAUAUUGGAAGAAAAUGUCCAUGAUCCUCAUGGUUCGAGGGAAGUGCAACAAUCUAACCAGGAUGUGUCUCAGUGACUGGCCUCUAUUUCCUUUUCUGGAUAAAGGUACAUACCCAGGAACAUCGAAACAUAUGUCCCUGCAAAAACAUGUACAGGAAUGAUCACAGCAGCAAUACUCACAAUAGUCAAAAAGUGGAGACAAUCCAAAUGUCCAUGCACUGACAAAACGAUAAACGUGUGGCAUACCCAUAUCCACAUGACGGAGUGUCAUCAGCUGUAAGGAGGAAUGACGUUCUGGUAGGCUGUGUGAAAGAAGCCAGACGCAAAGGCCACAUGGGUCACUCCACGCAUAUGAAGUUUCCGCGACAGGCAGAGCUAUGGACACAGUACAUGGAUUCCUGGUUGCCUAGGGCUGGGGGCGGGGGCGACUAGGGGCAAGUGGGGAGUGACUGCUAUGGGGAGAGGGCAUUUCUCAGAGGUGAGAAAGGUCUCUGAAUAUUGCUUGUGAUGGUGGUUGCACAACUUUGAGAAUAUACUAAAAUUCAUUGAAUUAUAUGCACUAAAUGGGUGAACUUUCUCCAUGAAUUGUAUACACUAAAUGGAUGAACUUUCUCCAUGAAUUGUAUACACUAAAUGGGUGAACUUUCUCAUUAAAUUAUAUGCACUAAACGGCUGAACUUUCUCAUUGAAUUAUAUACACUAAAUGGGUGAACUUUCUCAAUGAACUGUAUACACUAAAUGGGUGAACUUUCUCACUGAAUUGUAUACACUAAACGGGUGAACUUUCUCAUUGAAUUAUAUGCACUAAAUGGGUGAACUUUCUCAAUGAACUGUAUACACUAAAUGGGUGAACUUUCUCACUGAAUUGUAUACACUAAACGGGUGAACUUUGUCAUUGAAUUAUAUACAGUAAAUGGGUGAACUUUCUCAUUGAAUUAUAUACACUAAACGGGUGAACUUUCUCACUGAAUUGUAUACACUAAAUGGGUGAACUUUCUCACUGAAUCGUAUACACUAAAUGGGUGAACUUUAUGGCACAUGGAUUGUAUCUCAAUAAAGCUGUUGAAAACUUUAAA